GAGGGGAUAGCUCAGUGGUAGAGCGUGUGCUUAGCAUGCAUGGGGUACUGGUUCCAGUCCUCA
This 63-nucleotide transfer RNA is filed under the name Camelus bactrianus (Bactrian camel). It matches the Rfam family "tRNA". Rfam says of the family: Transfer RNA (tRNA) molecules are approximately 80 nucleotides in length. Their secondary structure includes four short double-helical elements and three loops (D, anti-codon, and T loops). Lineage: Eukaryota; Metazoa; Chordata; Mammalia; Artiodactyla; Camelidae. RNAcentral also lists the same sequence under 1 other name. The record is from Rfam by way of RNAcentral.